UUAUAUCGUCCGCGGCCGCGUCGAGAGCGGCGGCGGCGGCGGCCCUCGCUCGCUCCGCCGCCGAACUGCGCGCGCUCGCUGCUGCCGCCGCUGCUGCUCAACAACACACACACACAGGUUUAAUAAUGAGGAGGCAUUUAAGGGAUCUCACCAGUCUGUAGCGAGCCCACCGCGCGCCCACCAGUGCUCUCGAUCCGGACGCGUCCGAGUGCGCUCUCGCGCCGCUUUCGCGCCAAAACGGGACCCCCGCAGUUGCCCCGCCGAGGAGCCCCUGUGCGUGGACCCCGCCGCCAGCUUGUGUGAGUGUUUUGUGCUCUGCGCUCAGUGAUCGUGCACCUUCCUGCGAAUUCCGAUGGAAAUUGUGCCGGGAAAUCACCAACAUGGCGGAGAAGCGCAGCCAAAUUGCCUAUCGAUGUGUGCCGAUUUGCAUUUUCCCAAUUCGCGAACCCUGUGGUGCAGGUGAACCCUGAGACACAGCUGGCGUGGGAUGACACACCGGCCCAUGCAGGUGAGGAAUCUCCAGCUGGAUCUUUCUUGAGUGCUCGAGCCGCCGCGAGUGCGAGUGCAAAAACCACCGCUGCUGCUUUCACCCAAUUGCAAAAGUCAGUCAGUCAGUGUCGGUUAAUGUAUCGCAGUGUGUGCUCCUAGGAUUUGCGUCGCCGUGACAGAGCGGUGGACUUGCGAGAGAGAGCGCGCGACGGCACCGAUUUCCCCCGUUCCCUGAGACCCUAACUUGUGACGAGGUUUCAUCUCACAGGCUAGAAUCUCAGGUAUGGGUGAUUGAAUAAAUGCAUCGGACGGACGCAGCAAUCAAGAAGGUGGCGCCGGACGAGCCAGACUUUUUGAGCAGGAAGUCCAACGGUCCGGCUUGACAGCGAAUAUACAUUUAUCAGCAAGAUUUUUUAAAGGACGUGCGGCGUCUGCCGUUCUCAUUUUGGCAGUGAAUUGCGACGACGAGAGACGUUUCCUGUUGCCGCAGACUCAAAGAUUUUUCCACAAAAAAGUGACAUUUUCAACUAUGCGUGAAUUGUAAAAAAUAAAACUUUUAAAAUAUAAUCCUGUUUUAUGCAUAAGAAACGAACAACAUUUUGGCCAAAUUGCUUCAAAAACAUCAAAAUAUAGCAUUAAUAAAUUUUUAAAGAAUUUAAAAAAUUGUAUUUUAUAGAAGACCUGUAACUUUAAGUUGGCAUUUCCACCAAAUUUAAUUCAUUUAUAUAUUUUUAUUUCUGAGCAAUUUAAGCCAGUUUUUUUUCUUUUUGAGUAUAUCAAUUUUUAUGUACCAGCUAAGAUUGAAGUGCCGAAAAAAGAAAUAAAAUUUCAAACAAUUAUUAUUUAUAAGUUUUUCUUCACGAAUCAUCAAAACAAAAUAUGAAGAAACAGUGACACCUUUGUUAAACAUUCAAUGUUGCUUUAAGAAUAAAUAUGUACAUCUUUUGGCAACAUCAUGCAAUCGCGAUUAGAAAUGGCCCCUUUCUUUCACUUAAAAUUAAAACUUUUCUUCAUCCCUUUUAGGUUGGUUUCCGCAUUUUUCUAAUCUAUAAUAUUUCUAUAGCUCGUCGCUCGUCAUGGUUAUAUUAAUUUCCGACUAUUUUUAGUAUUUUUACUCAAUAUUCAGAAGCAUUCACCGAGCCUUAUUAACAUUUCUCCGUAAAAUCCAUUUUAAAUAGAAAUCUAAAGAAGAAACUGCCGAUUAGCCAAAACUAAUUAAUUUUUAGAUGAGGGUUUUCAUUUUUUUUUUAGUUAAUUGUGCGUACGAUUUUGAAUAAAAUAAAAUAUUUGUCCUGUAUAUGGUGUUCUAGAUGUUUUUAUACAAAAAAUUAUGAGUGU
Molecule: long non-coding RNA, 1827 nt
Organism: Neocloeon triangulifer
Lineage: Eukaryota; Metazoa; Arthropoda; Insecta; Ephemeroptera; Baetidae
Exons: 3
Source: RefSeq, a predicted model, not a curated record